GACGAACGCUGGCGGCGUGCUUAACACAUGCAAGUCGAACGGAAAGGCCCUGCUUUUGUGGGGUGCUCGAGUGGCGAACGGGUGAGUAACACGUGAGUAACCUGCCCUUGACUUUGGGAUAACUUCAGGAAACUGGGGCUAAUACCGGAUAGGAGCUCCUGCUGCAUGGUGGGGGUUGGAAAGUUUCGGCGGUUGUGGAUGGACUCGCGGCUUAUCAGCUUGUUGGUGGGGUAGUGGCUUACCAAGGCUUUGACGGGUAGCCGGCCUGAGAGGGUGACCGGCCACAUUGGGACUGAGAUACGGCCCAGACUCCUACGGGAGGCAGCAGGGGGGAAUAUUGCACAAUGGGCGGAAGCCUGAUGCAGCAACGCCGCGUGCGGGAUGACGGCCUUCGGGUUGUAAACCGCUUUCGCCUGUGACGAAGCGUGAGUGACGGUAAUGGGUAAAGAAGCACCGGCUAACUACGUG
Molecule: ribosomal RNA, 468 nt
Filed under: uncultured bacterium
Lineage: Bacteria
Description: partial 16S ribosomal RNA
Rfam family: Bacterial small subunit ribosomal RNA
Source: RNAcentral